UCUGACUGACGCUAUUGAAAGUUGAUGGCUGGAGAGGUACGACAGACACCGGAGGUGGUUGGCCGUUGUAGAAAUCCAGCUGCUGGAGUCCGUCUGUUGUAGAAGUUCAUCCGAAAUCUAUCCACUAUGGAAGUUCAAACGGAGUCCGAUUCUUGUAGAAGGCUGAAAGGAGGCUGCUUAUUGUAGAAGCUCGAUCGAAGAUCGAUUGUCGUGGAAGCUCAGAGUAGUGACCUGGCUGGUAGAGCCUAUCCCAUUGUAGAAGCUCGUCUGGGAUCCAUCCACUGUAGG
Molecule: long non-coding RNA, 288 nt
Filed under: Elaeis guineensis (African oil palm)
Lineage: Eukaryota; Viridiplantae; Streptophyta; Magnoliopsida; Arecales; Arecaceae
Description: long non-coding RNA (EGUI_LNC020101)
Source: RNAcentral